This 3162-nucleotide long non-coding RNA is filed under the name Mustela putorius furo (domestic ferret). RNAcentral describes it as "lncRNA (ENSMPUG00000028563.1)". Lineage: Eukaryota; Metazoa; Chordata; Mammalia; Carnivora; Mustelidae. The record is from RNAcentral.
AAAUUUUUAUUUUAUGCCCUUUUAAGUUUGCAUAAGACAAGUAUUGAUUUUGCCAUAUAUUUUUGGAAGGUGGCACUAUAGACCAAGAUUAAGUCCUUAUGGAGACACUACAGGGAAACCGAGUGACAAAAUCUCAAUGCUGAGAAGCACGAUGCCAUCUCCAACACCUACUCCUGAAACACCAUAAACUCUGUAUCCUGCAUCCCAAGUGAUUCAACAAGGAAGGUAUAUACUCAAAAGAAUGGAAAGCAAGGUCUCAAAGAGGCACUUGUAUAUUCAUAUUUAUAGCAACAUCCAUUAUUCACAGUAACUAAAAUAUGGAAGCAACCCAUCAGCAAGUGAAUGGGUCAGCAGAUGACUGCACCAUUGGCCAUGUUGAAGUAAGCCACCAAGUUGCUAUCCUUUGUGAAGAUGCCUUCAUAAGACAGCUUCUCCUUCUCUGCAAGCAUGCCUGCAGCUUCAGAAAUCUUCUCCGUGAUGCUAGAGAACUGAUCUGUGAGCAGGAGGCUGAAGAGUAGAGCCUGCCCUUUCAGUUUCCAUUCUGUCUUAUCCUGCAUGUAGGCACCUGGAUUUUGAAGAACACCAGCCUUGUCUUUGUGCACGAACUCCUUCUCAGGCAUGAGGCUCUUCUCUGUCUUCAGGGUCUUGGAGGUGUGUGCGCCUUCCAUGGGAGGCAGCGUUGGACAGUGGGCUUUGUGCCUGGGGCUGGGACCAGUGACAAAGGUGAAGCAGGGAAAAAGGCUGUUGGCACAAUCAUAGGGGAGGACAAGGUGCCAUGGUAAGGGGCCAGUGGAGUCAUGUGUACCACAAUGAUCUUGGGUGAGUGUAGGUAAGCAGCAUGGAAGUGAUAGCUGAGCCAGGGGGCAGUCAGACCAUGAGAGCCACUGGGGCCAAGGACAUGAUGGGGCUGUAGCUAAGAUGGUGCUAUGGCCACAAUUAUAACACAGAUGGACUAGAGGCAGCAUGGCACAUGAAAAUGAGGUGAUGAGAGGGUCAAGCUGGGAAUGUUGAUGGCUGGGGGCACAAGUGGUGACUGCUGGGGGAUGCAAUUGGGCUUGCUGGCGUCAGUGUUCUCUUUGGUAUCAUGCUCCAACACUGGGCCCUUAGAUAGGCUCCUGACAGUUGAUAUUGGACUGGGUGGCCUGCUGGGUCCUGGUCAUGCUGCCUAAGUGACCAGUAUCAAUUAGAUAUUGCUGAAAGUGGUAUGAAAUAUGUUUUAUGCUGUAGAUUGUUAUUAUUUUCUAUUGUUAGUUUAAAAACAUCAUUAUUUCAUAACAUUUAUUUAUUUGUUUAUUGGGUUUAAGAUGGUUCCAAAUAACAAUCAAAAAGAGGUAUAGAAACCUGUUGUAAUUCUGUCUCAUUAUAUAGUAAAUGAGAUUUAUUUAAAUGGGAAAAAAAGGAAUAAUAAUUAUUGAUGGAUGAUGAAUGGAUGAGAAAAAUUCAUGGAAGAGUGAAUAAAUGCAUGAUACAGUAUGGAGACAGAAUCUAUAUAAUUAGAUCAGUUCCUAUCACGGAGGAACAUUAGAUGUUGAUGUCAAGGAUUUAUUAGAAAUGUUAUUGAAGAUAUGUAGGGUAAUGUUCAUAUAAUUAACAGAAAUCAGGAUUGAAAAGGCAGUAGCGUUUUUGAAGCAGAAGUAAUAUAUUUUUUGAUGUAUUUAGAUAAAUCUUCCAUUGGGGCAAAUUUGAGGUAAUACCUAACAGUUGAAAUUACAAACCUAAACUUUAAGAGAGUCUUUUUGGAUUAUAAAAGUUGAUAACACAUAUGCAAAGAAUACAAAUUCAACUAUAGGAAUAGAUUCAAAAUAGAGUCAGACAAAAUGAAACAAGAAAGAAGGUUUUGGAGACAAGGCCAUUUGGAAUGAAUAUUUCUAGGUUGGGGAUGACCGUAUGAGAAAGACCAGAACAAUAACAUAGAAGAUAAGAUUGAUAUUUGUAAGGAACCUAGAAGCCAGAGAAAGAGAAUUUUAAAAGUUGAUUUGCCAGUUGGAAAAAAAAAAAGCAUUAAAUAUUUCAGAAAUUAAGGGUUUUACGCAAUGAGUGAUCAGUUUUGCUAAAUAAAGAAUAUCAUUUGGAUUGUGUUUGAAAACUUUUGUCAAAGACCAUUAACAGUGUCAUAUGGGAAAAUAGAAGAGUCCCUACUGAGUUUAUGUCAUGUCAUAUGGAAUAAGCCUAAAGGUUUAGAAUUAUUCUUCAGUUUUGAGCAAAAUUAACACUAACAUUUUUAGUAAGAUAUGUUUAUGCAAAUGUGCAGUUUUCUGAUGAUAUUCAAGAGCAGUAUUGAGGUGUUAUUUUAUACAUAUGAGAACGUCUAGUUACUCAAACACAAGAGAUGUCCAGUAGUUGUUUCUCAAUAAUAAUAUCUAAAAUAUGACCAUUCACUAUUAUGUUGAGAUGCUAACUCAUUCUAUUUAUUUUUUUGUGUGAAGUAGGAAUUUGUGAUAAAUAUUUUCUAUUUAUAUGUUAUGUUUCUAUACUAUUUGUAUCAUGUUUAAGGAUUUAAAAAAAACAACUAAAAUUAAAAGAAGUUACCAUAUAAAUUUUUUAUGGCAAAAGGAAGGAAACACAAAUCACACAUACACACACACACAUACACACAGACAAGAUUUCAGAAAAAAAAUAUAACCAGCUUUUUAAGUAUGUAAAUAAAGUCAACUUUUCAAGUUUACUAUGAGGAUUGAGAUAAUAUACAUAAGCAUGAUUUACAUAUUAUAAAACACUCAGAGAUCAUUGUUAUGUUAAUUAUUAUGUUAAUACUCCUUGGAUAAGGCAAGGAGUAUUAAUCUAACACAGUAGAUCAUGAAAUAGAAACAGUACUAACAAUAACUUCAAAUAUAAGAGUACUGUGGGGGGCGCCUGGGUGGCUCAGUGGGUUAAGCCGCUGCCUUCAGCCGCUGCCUUCAUGAUCCCACGGUCCUGGGAUUGAGCCCCACAUCGGGCUCUCUGCUCAGCGGGGAGCCUGCUUCCUCCUCUCUCUCUCUGCCUGCCUCUCUGCCUGCUUGUCAUCUCUGUCUGUCAAAUAAAUAAAUAAAAUCUUUAAAAAAAAAAAAAAAAGUACUGUGGUUACACUCAUUCUGGUAUUCAUGUUGAUCUAUGAAGAAAGAAAAAAUAGAUAUUGUGUUUUUUCUAAUUUUUUCAAUAGCAAAACUAAUAUAUACAGGUGGU